GAUGAACGCUGGCGGCGUGCCUAAUACAUGCAAGUCGAGCGAACGGACGAGAAGCUUGCUUCUCUGAUGUUAGCGGCGGACGGGUGAGUAACACGUGGAUAACCUACCUAUAAGACUGGGAUAACUUCGGGAAACCGGAGCUAAUACCGGAUAAUAUUUUGAACCGCAUGGUUAAAAAGUGAAAGACGGUCUUGCUGUCACUAAUAGAUGGAUCCGCGCUGCAUUAGCUAGUUGGUAAGGUAACGGCUUACCAAGGCAACGAUGCAUAGCCGACCUGAGAGGGUGAUCGGCCACACUGGAACUGAGACACGGUCCAGACUCCUACGGGAGGCAGCAGUAGGGAAUCUUCCGCAAUGGGCGAAAGCCUGACGGAGCAACGCCGCGUGAGUGAUGAAGGUCUUCGGAUCGUAAAACUCUGUUAUUAGGGAAGAACAUAUGUGUAAGUAACUGUGCACAUCUUGACGGUACCUAAUCAGAAAGCCACGGCUAACUACGUG
RNAcentral lists this ribosomal RNA (497 nucleotides) under uncultured bacterium. RNAcentral describes it as "partial 16S ribosomal RNA". It matches the Rfam family "Bacterial small subunit ribosomal RNA", at positions 28 to 507 of the family's 1533-position model. The record is from RNAcentral.